CAAAUCCUUUCACCUUUCUAUCAGCCCAGUUUGGUAUCCUGCCUGCUCCCUUGCUGGUGUGGAUUCAGAACAGGAUGCAACCAGCUGGCAUCAAUAAAUGUCAUCUACAGAGACAUGCCUGUGC
Non-coding RNA from Lonchura striata (white-rumped munia), 124 nucleotides. NCBI's taxonomy places the organism in Eukaryota, Metazoa, Chordata, Aves, Passeriformes, Estrildidae. The record is from RefSeq and is a predicted model, not a curated record.